RNAcentral lists this ribosomal RNA (518 nucleotides) under Streptomyces sp. 310D06. Its description in RNAcentral is "bacterial SSU rRNA". It matches the Rfam family "Bacterial small subunit ribosomal RNA", at positions 93 to 625 of the family's 1533-position model. Lineage: Bacteria; Bacillati; Actinomycetota; Actinomycetes; Kitasatosporales; Streptomycetaceae. The record is from RNAcentral.
UAGUGGCGAACGGGUGAGUAACACGUGGGCAAUCUGCCCUUCACUCUGGGACAAGCCCUGGAAACGGGGUCUAAUACCGGAUAACACCUGCCCGGGCAUCCGGGUGGGUUAAAAGCUCCGGCGGUGAAGGAUGAGCCCGCGGCCUAUCAGCUUGUUGGUGAGGUAGUGGCUCACCAAGGCGACGACGGGUAGCCGGCCUGAGAGGGCGACCGGCCACACUGGGACUGAGACACGGCCCAGACUCCUACGGGAGGCAGCAGUGGGGAAUAUUGCACAAUGGGCGAAAGCCUGAUGCAGCGACGCCGCGUGAGGGAUGACGGCCUUCGGGUUGUAAACCUCUUUCAGCAGGGAAGAAGCGAAAGUGACGGUACCUGCAGAAGAAGCGCCGGCUAACUACGUGCCAGCAGCCGCGGUAAUACGUAGGGCGCAAGCGUUGUCCGGAAUUAUUGGGCGUAAAGAGCUCGUAGGCGGCUUGUCACGUCGGGUGUGAAAGCCCGGGGCUUAACCCCGGGUCUGCC